This is a long non-coding RNA of Capsicum annuum, 802 nucleotides long. RefSeq lists it as uncharacterized. NCBI's taxonomy places the organism in Eukaryota, Viridiplantae, Streptophyta, Magnoliopsida, Solanales, Solanaceae. The record is from RefSeq and is a predicted model, not a curated record. The transcript has 2 exons.
GUAGGGAUAUGAGUUUUUGCAUCAUAUGGAGCCAUAUAUCAAUCAGAAUUUUCAAGCACUUUGACACAUUUUGCAGUAAAACUUAUCGCCAAGUUUUCCAACCUUCCUAUUACAGUCCUUACAACUCAGGUAUGGCCACUUUUUGUCAAGGUCUAUGUGUAUUAUGCUCGCAACAACACAGAAGCUCCCUUCCUAUAUUUUAUUAAAAAUAACAUAGUUUAAAAAAUAGUCAUCUGUCAAAAUAUAAAUUAUUAAUGGAAUAGUGUUACUUACAUCCAUGCACUCAAUUAAUUGCUUGAUAGUUUUAGCUUCAAGCGAUCCAGAAGAUAAUAACUCAUCUGAAAUAGAAGAAGAGUUAUUUUGAGAGGAUAUUCGACUAAUCCUCUCGGCUUUACCUCCACGCACAUCUUCCAUUCUGUAUGGGUUGAAGUUUUGUUAAAAUCUAUUUCAUAUAACAAAUUAUUCAAUGUACUAAAAAGAAAUGGAGAGUAUACUACUAUAUAAACCUGGAGAUAAAUUCAGCAACUUCAGGCAGUUGAGGAUUUAUCCAUAAUUUUGAAGCAGUCCAAGAAUUGCGCACAAAAUAUUUUCCUGCAUUUAUGAGUAUAUUUGUUAUCACAUCAUGAAAUUUGUAUUCAAUAUAAAUCUUACAAAUGUAUAGAAAAAACUAGAAACCUUUGAAUUUAUGUGCCAGAUAAAUUCAGCAACUUCAGGCAGUUGAGGAUUUAUCCAUAAUUUUGAAGCAGUCCAAGAAUUGCGCACAAAAUAUUUUCCUGCAUUUAUGAGUAUAUUUGUUAUCACA